GUGAAGACCAAGACAAACAGUAGAUUAACAGUGGUACCUUUUAUAAAGCUGAUUAGUUCCUAAAAUAUGCUGAAAGGAAACAAAACCAAAAAGGAAAAAAAAGAGAGUGGAAUAGGGGCCGAGACAGAAGCCUUUGUCGGUGAGUUUGAAGCAGCUCCGUUCCUUUCAGUCAUUGCAGAUAUUGACCUUCCAGUGAAAUAUUUCCUUUGUGAGCAAAGGCUUUGCCGGGAUAGCGUUUAUGGUAUUAAGCAGGUGCCUGGUGAGAACAACAGCAUGACUGGAAUGGCGAUAGCCACUUCUAAAAUGUCCAUUUAUUCAUAGCUCAUCUACUUCUCAAAAAGAAAUUGUGGUAAGUUACACCAGAAAUGGAGUUCCAAUAAAACAGAGACUCAUCAACAGAAGCUAAAAGACAACAGACAAACAUGAAGUAAUAGUAGUAGAAAAAUUUAUAUCAAUAAACCCUCGCAAAAAGAAUGCAAUUUCCAGCUCUGAGUUUUCCAGCAGCCAGGCAAAGAGAGAAAGCCCAUGAACUACAGAGACCUCCUCAGCUCGUCAUGAAAACCACGUGGGUUCUUUAAGGGAAACGACAUUUUUCUGUCCCUGAGCUCCUCCAGGUGGCGUUUGUCUGGGGCAGGGCGUGUGGGAGGCAGCCAAUGAAUUGCCGGAGAAGUUGGCUUUCGGUAGAGCUGGGGACAGCUCCCCUGGAGGGGGACUGUCUUUCUGACUUUGGCUGAUGUGCAUUCUGAGCCAGGAGCAAAGGAGAGUCAUUCUUUUCCUCUCUGAGCUCGGGGAGGGAUAAGCAAGGACAGAAAGGAAAGAACAAACUCUUUGGGUCAUGAAGAAGAGUUUCCUAUGCCCUGAAAGCAAGUUACAGCAGCUGACUUGAAACCACCACAUAGAGGAGCACUAGAAUUUGGCCAAAGGAGUUGUUUUCACCAAAGACCUUCUUGCUCUAAAGGUCAAGGAGCCCAGGACUCCAUACUUGGGAGGGCCCAUCUGCUGAGUGGGCCCCCUCCCUGGAGAAGGCCAGUUGAGCUGCUGCCAGACUCCAUGCCAAAUUCAAAUGAAAAAUGAGGGUUUUCUAGGAGAUUAUUGUGAAAAGGUGAGAAAAAAACUAAACCAGCUUUGCAGGAGCUAAACAGUGAUAUUUCGAGUCAACCACACUUUACAAAGCCGGAUGUUAUUUUAGACAACAUAAGUGUAAUCACUCUUUCUAUCCAGUCUCUGAUAUUAUACUGUACUGCAGAGAAAAUCUGCUGAUCAGUUUUAACGCCCUUCUCUGAGUUGUCAGAUAAAAGGCCACAGCAAUCGGAAGAAAUUUAUCUUUAAAAUGUUUCUAUUAUGCUUGGUGACAAUGCCGUUUCCACUGAGGACUUCUCUAGUAUGUAUUUUUUUUCCUAUGGAUGAAGCAGGAAUCAAAAAGGACUUUCGCUGGGCCUCGGGAGAGCAAAACGGGCAUGCAAACACUGAGCCUGGCGGGGCGUUAAGCUCUGAAAUGCUUCAGGGAGCCGCUGGCGCCGUGCACGUGCAUCAAGGCAGGGAUCUUUAUAGUCUAGGAAAUUCAUCACAGCGUGACAAUUUGUGCCCGGCUCCCAAACGGAGCUCGUCUAGUUCUCGCUCUUGUUUCCCCUCAGUGGCCUCACACAUUCUGGAAUGUGUCUUAAGGGGAGGAAUUCACAGAGGUUUCAGACUAAAGGAAAAAGCAGCCCGCUGAUUCAGUUCGCCUUGCCCCACACUGCGCCUUCAUUGUAGGAUAAUGAGGCCGACGCUCAUGCGGCGUCUACACUGUGCAGGCACCAGGUGAGUCACGUCACUCACAUCACUGCCAACCCUCACUGCAGCCCUCUAAAAAUAAAAUAAGUUUUCUUGUCCUGCCUCAAUUCAUGCAUUAAGCUGGCACUCAUUCAACACAGUUUUGGAGGACCUAUAGUGCAGGAUGGCAGACAAAGUUGCAGAUGUUGAGGACCCAGUGAUAAAGAAGAUAUGGCUCCCUGCACAGAAAUCGGAAAACCAACCAGCAAAAAAGUUAAAGGAUCUUGCCAAGGAGGGAGUAGAACCAGAGGGUGAUGCCGUUUGUAUACUUCUAAAGCUUGCACCGCUUCCUACGCACCACGCUGCUUCCCUUGACUCGCUCCGUCUUCUGAGCUGAAGAUUGACCCUGAGCUAACAUCUUUGCCCAUCUGCCUCUAUUUUAUGUGGGAUGCCUACCACAGCAUGGUGUGCCAAGCAGUGUCACGCCCACACUCAGUAUCCGAACCCCCAGUCCCGGGGCCACUGAAGUGGAACAUUCGCACUUAACCGCUGCAGCAGUGGGCCGGCCCCGUCAAGCACUGUAAUUCUAUAACUCAUUUUAUUUUCAUGACAAACGCAUGAAGAGGAGGAAAUUGAGGUCGAGAGAGGUUAUUUUGCUCAAGUCUAUAGCUAAUUUAUAGGGUUUAGGCCUGUCUAAAUACAGAACCUCUGCUCAUAAGUAUUUUUGGAGUUCAAAACUCUAAAACAUUUGAAGUGCUGUGGACAAACUAGGAAAAGAGUUUCAACAAAUAUGACAAAAUUUAUAGAAUUGAAUUUUUUGAGAAUAUUAAAUGAUUACAUUUUCAACUCCAUUAAGAACACAAAGCUACAGACCAGUAGAAAAUAUUCACAAAACACUAUGUCUGACAAAGCAUACCCAGGAUAUACAAAGAACUCUUAAAUUCAACAAUAAAAAGACAAACAACCCAAUUAAAAAGGGCAAAAGAUUUUAGAUGACUCUUCACAAAAAGAAAUAUAUGAACAGCCAAUAAGCAUACGAAAAAAUGCUCGUCAUCAUUAGUGAUCAGAGCAAUGAAAAUCACAAGGAAAUACCGUUAUAUACUCACUGGUAUGUCUAUAAUUAAAAAGACAAACAUUAAGUGUUAACAAGGAUGUAGAACAAUUGGAACUCUCAUACAUGGUUCAACCAGUUUGGACAAAGUUUUACAGUUUCUUAAAGACUAAAUACAUA
This 2983-nucleotide long non-coding RNA is filed under the name Equus caballus (horse). Its description in RNAcentral is "lncRNA (ENSECAG00000056295.1)". The record is from RNAcentral. Lineage: Eukaryota; Metazoa; Chordata; Mammalia; Perissodactyla; Equidae.